UUUGUUUUACUAUUAAAAAAGAGUUGAUUGGACAAUGGAUAUUAUAUUAGAAACAAGUUUAAUAUUCAUUGACCAAUAAACCAUUGUGUAUAGUUAACCGACUGUUAUAAUCCACCUACCCAUUGAAAAAAGGUGUCAAUCCUAAUUACAAUACAUGAGCAAAACACAAACAAAGUUGGCAAGCAAGGCAUUUAAACUCUUGGAUUGCAUGCUUUAAUAUUUUAACUGUAAAGAGUGCAUCAUUGUAGUUUGCUUAACACCAUUAUAUGGAUUGAAGAAUUUUAUACAAUAUAUCAUAUAUCUGAAAAAAGCUGAAAGAAAUCUUGCGAUGAAAGAUUUUCUGAUUUUGUAUGCUCCUUGGGAUAACUAAAUCAGUUCCUGUUAAUGAAUGUAGAUGACAAAAAAAUCAAUGUCAAAAUAGGUUCAAUUUACAUAAGCAUCGUCUUUUGUUGCUAUAGUAAUUUAUUAUGCUCUACAUGUAAAUGCUUUUGUUUUUUAACUCCUGUUUGCAGGUCUUACCAUCUGUAGUACAGGCUAUUUAAACCUUACUAGUCAGCAUAAGUGUGGACAAAGGAAGAGAUAAAGAUUUAUUGGCAUUUUCAGAUUUUAUUUUACUUGUAUUUUACAUAAUAUUUUAUUAUUUCAGUUUACUCUUAAAUCAAGCACACGAAAUUCCAAACAUUUCAUAUUUAUACAGUCUGUUAAAGUUGAUUUCAUUGUAUUUCUACAACAGGCUGUCUGCCUAUUGUACAAAAAUUUAUACUGAAGUUUCAUAUUCUUCAUUUUAAGAAUGUAGUACAGAUUUAAGUGUUUGUUCCAAUUUGCAAAAAUGUCAUUCUUCAAUAUUAGCUUAACAAUUCUUAUAAUUGUCCCUGGUAAUAAAAGAGUAAGUUUAUUUAUACAAUAAUUAGGCACUAACGAUCACCAACUGAUGUUUGUUAAGUUUGUAACCAUAAUUAGUCCAACUGAUGUUCGUUAAGUUUGUAACCAUAAUUAGUCCUAACUCCAAUAAAAUGCACUAAGACUUUGCCAGAUAAAAUACCAUAAACUUUUACAGGUCUUAUUCACCUGUAAAUAAAUUUGUUUGGUUUCAACUGACAAUGGUGUUUGACUCAUCAAUGACAUAAAUUUACUGUGGAUUUUUUCUUAUUCAUUGAAUACCAAUUUACAUCGGUAUAUGUAAAUCACAAAUUUAGGUGAACAACAAAAUAUAAAUUUUCUCUAGGCUUGUAUGCAGAUCCAGACUUUUGUAUAAGGCACAAAAUCAAAUAUCCAUGAAACACAAUUUUACGUCAAUUCUCCAAAAUAGUAUCCACAAAAAUAAACAAAUCCACAGUACCAUAUACAAUACAAAUUAUAGUUAUUUAAUUUUUGUCUGGAAAUAAAUGUGCAUUUUGAAAACCACCUAGCAUAAAUGUAAAUGACUCUUUUUUGUACUAGAAAUAUAAAAUGUCGGCCGCAUAAUAUAUUCACUGGUUAUUAUUAUUUAUUAGUGCUUAUCAUAUUUUUUAAAGAUGAUCUAAAGAUUAGAAAUUGAACUUGAAAUACACACAGAAUGUGUUAUGUUGUUUGUUUUUUAUUUUUAAAUUCUUAUAAAUUACCGUUUUUAUUUUAUACUACACAGCCUUAAAAGACUAAAUAGGAGGUGUGGGGUUGUGGAUGAACAUGUUAUGUUAGAAAAAGAAAAGACAAUGAGAUGGGAUACAAUAGGGGAACAAACAUCAUAGGCCAAGUCAAAUAUAUAUAUAGAGUUUAUUAAGGUUAGAAAAGUUAGAGUCAGUCCCAUAACCAGCCUUAUCUCAACGAUGCAAUCACAAACCAAUUCAAUUUUUAUACGGCCGCAACAUUUUUUGGCGUUAUGGCUCAAUAUGUUUUGGAAUUAGGGGGGAAAAAUGGGAAAAACUAGGUUUUUCUGGUCAAUGGACAAUUAAGACAAUUUAAAAGCAGUGUAAGGGUGGU
This 1959-nucleotide long non-coding RNA is filed under the name Mytilus galloprovincialis (Mediterranean mussel). Lineage: Eukaryota; Metazoa; Mollusca; Bivalvia; Mytilida; Mytilidae. The record is from RNAcentral.